Molecule: long non-coding RNA, 297 nt
Organism: Danaus plexippus (monarch butterfly)
Lineage: Eukaryota; Metazoa; Arthropoda; Insecta; Lepidoptera; Nymphalidae
Exons: 3
Source: RefSeq, a predicted model, not a curated record
UGUUCUUAUGAGUCGUAAAACACAACCGCAAACAAGUUGAAGCUCUGUAGACUUCGUUUGAGAGCAAAGCUGAUUGAGUGCGGCCUGCUCUGAUAACUGAAGGUGUAGUGCAACAGAGCGAGCCAAGAACAUGGCAGCGGUAACCUCAGAUAACGUUGCAAUUCAUUUAUACAGAUCGAGACAAGGGAUCGUUACCUCUCUUGAUGUGCGCUCUUCUUAGAUAGCUUACUCUUAUGGUUUUUCUUCGGUCUUACGGACAGUUUAUGCUUUGCCGCCGACACGUCCAGGAGAUCGGCU